Corythoichthys intestinalis (scribbled pipefish) is the source of this 816-nucleotide long non-coding RNA. RefSeq lists it as uncharacterized. The transcript has 4 exons. The record is from RefSeq and is a predicted model, not a curated record. NCBI's taxonomy places the organism in Eukaryota, Metazoa, Chordata, Actinopteri, Syngnathiformes, Syngnathidae.
GGAUUGGAUGUCUAUCACUGUCAAUGAGCUAACUACAGUGUUAUUCACAUUCUUCACAUGCGCUGAUGCAGGUAUUGUUGACGUCUGUUAACGCUCUACUUGCACAUUACCGGGAUCGUUCAGAUUCUGCAGAUUGUAAACCAAACAAACACAUAGGUCCUCCAAAAAAAUGAUGAUUAUACAUUAGGGUUGCCAAUCUCCUGCAAGUUGUUGGAGGUGUGCCCCCAGAUAAAAAAGAGACGGGGACCAGCACCAAGUGAAUACCUCCUGACUGUUGCAUUGAACACACACGGAAAUUCAUGCCUCACAUCAAGCGUGGCUGUGGAGGUGGUGGACAUGGACAUGGACACGGACGAAGGCGUCGUCCGAGAUGCGAACAUGGGAAGGGAUGUAAAAAGUGCAAGAGAAGACACAAGUUAGGACACAAACAUCGCAAGUGUCAUAAGAAAGGGAAGGAGUGUCACGGGUACUCCAGCAGCUCAUGCAGCAGCAGCAGCAGUAGUAGUAGCAGCAGCAGCGACUCUGACUAGAUCACAGAAGAAGCGCCAUGAAAAUGUCAGCAAGCAUCCACGUUGCGCAAUAAUCAACCACAUGUGACCAUCAAAUGGCUUCAUUAAAAGUGCUAACAUUCCUGUUUAUAUUGUUGGCCAAAUUGUUAGUAGUCUAAUAUCUCAUCAAUAGAAAAAAAAUGCUGCUGACAAAUUGACCCGGUGGCUUUUUUGUCGCUCUUCCUGAAAAUCAACAUAACAGGAGGGUUAAACAAGUUGUCCAAGGCUGUAUUUUUUGUGAUGUUACAAUAAAAUUGAUUUAAGCAAA